UACGGGGGGGGGCAAGCGUUGUUCGGAGUUACUGGGCGUAAAGGGCUCGUAGGCGGCCAACUAAGUCCGACGUGAAAUCCCCAGGCUCAACCUGGGAACUGCGUCGGAUACUGGAUGGCUUGAAUUCGGGAGAGGGAUGCAGAAUUCCAGGUGUAGCGGUGAAAUGCGCAGAUAUCUGGAGGAAUACCGGUGGCGAAGGCGGCAUCCUGGACCGACAUUGACGCUGAUGAGCGAAAGCUAGGGGAGCAAACGGGA
RNAcentral lists this ribosomal RNA (255 nucleotides) under uncultured prokaryote. RNAcentral's name for it is "partial 16S ribosomal RNA". It matches the Rfam family "Bacterial small subunit ribosomal RNA", at positions 524 to 777 of the family's 1533-position model. The record is from RNAcentral.